UACGUAGGGGGCUAGCGUUGUCCGGAAUCAUUGGGCGUAAAGCGCGUGUAGGCGGCCCGGUAAGUCCGCUGUGAAAGUCGGGGGCUCAACCCUCGAAUGCCGGUGGAUACUGUCGGGCUAGAGUACGGAAGAGGCGAGUGGAAUUCCUGGUGUAGCGGUGAAAUGCGCAGAUAUCAGGAGGAACACCCAUUGCGAAGGCAGCUCGCUGGGACGUUACUGACGCUGGAGACGUGGAAAGCGUGGGGAGCAAACAGGG
RNAcentral lists this ribosomal RNA (256 nucleotides) under uncultured bacterium. Its description in RNAcentral is "partial 16S ribosomal RNA". It matches the Rfam family "Bacterial small subunit ribosomal RNA", at positions 524 to 777 of the family's 1533-position model. The record is from RNAcentral.